Molecule: transfer RNA, 73 nt
Filed under: Serratia liquefaciens
Lineage: Bacteria; Pseudomonadati; Pseudomonadota; Gammaproteobacteria; Enterobacterales; Yersiniaceae
Description: tRNA-Lys(ttt)
Rfam family: tRNA (bases 5-69)
About the family: Transfer RNA (tRNA) molecules are approximately 80 nucleotides in length. Their secondary structure includes four short double-helical elements and three loops (D, anti-codon, and T loops). Further hydrogen bonds mediate the characteristic L-shaped molecular structure. tRNAs have two regions of fundamental functional importance: the anti-codon, which is responsible for specific mRNA codon recognition, and the 3' end, to which the tRNAs corresponding amino acid is attached (by aminoacyl-tRNA synthetases). tRNAs cope with the degeneracy of the genetic code in two manners: having more than one tRNA (with a specific anti-codon) for a particular amino acid; and 'wobble' base-pairing, i.e. permitting non-standard base-pairing at the 3rd anti-codon position.
Source: RNAcentral
UGGGUCGUUAGCUCAGUUGGUAGAGCAGUUGACUUUUAAUCAAUUGGUCUCAGGUUCGAGCCGAGCGAAGCGA